UACGGGGGGGAGCAAGCGUUGUUCGGAUUUACUGGGCGUAAAGGGCGCGUAGGCGGUCGUGACAAGUCACUUGUGGAAUCUCCGGGCUUAACUCGGAAACGGUCAAGUGAUACUGUCGGACUAGAGUACAGAAGGGGGCAACUGGAAUUCUCGGUGUAGCGGUGAAAUGGCGUAGAUAUCGAGAGGAACACCUGCGGCGAAGGCGGGUUGCUGGGCUGAGUGACUGACGCUGAGGCGCGAAAGCCAGGGGAGCGAACGGG
RNAcentral lists this ribosomal RNA (260 nucleotides) under uncultured bacterium. RNAcentral's name for it is "partial 16S ribosomal RNA". It matches the Rfam family "Bacterial small subunit ribosomal RNA", at positions 524 to 776 of the family's 1533-position model. The record is from RNAcentral.